Molecule: long non-coding RNA, 1331 nt
Organism: Orcinus orca (killer whale)
Lineage: Eukaryota; Metazoa; Chordata; Mammalia; Artiodactyla; Delphinidae
Exons: 3
Source: RefSeq, a predicted model, not a curated record
GGUUUCUUCCCGUGCCAACAAUGAGAAAGUAAUAUAAUGUCGGUUUCACAUCUUGAUUCUCCAGAAAAUGCCUCUGGCAUUGCACUUUCUGUAACAUAAUGGGGCAAACAGGACAAUUCCAAGAACUGUGCGCCAGGGUCCUCCGGGGACGCGGCGCUGGCUUAUAACUAUCGAGGGCGAACGUUCAAAGACCCCAUGACUCAGCACCUAGCCCUCCCCCUCGCCCCUCAGGAAAACGAAACAGCGCGUCACAAAAGUGGCUGAGAAAAUCCCCUUUGAAAGCGCUGCUGAAGCCAGGAGCGAACAAAAAGUUAAAGAGAGUUCUUUCCCAUGGGCGCUCACCCCCCUCGCGCAGGAUGACUGUGCAAAAAGGCUCCCUUCCUGCACGGCUUCCAGAAAUUGUGGGUCGGGGGGCGAGGUCGGGGGGAACUUAGGUCGGCCUCCUGGUGCCUGUUUGUAAGUCUCCCUCUGAACGGGAAAGACUCCGGAUCCUCCAGCGGCCUCCCGUCUCCACGGCCACCCCUGACCACCGGGCAUCCAAGGGGUCCCCCAUGGCCUCCAACUCCUCGGGAUGGGGGACCCGCAGACCUCCCUAGCUCCCUGAGCCUGCACAGCCUCUCUUCCGGUUGGCCCCCUGCCGCCUGUGUGUGGCCCUCCGUCACCCACAGGACCGCGAGCCAGCGGCCGCGGGACUCGCACCUUCCGCUGGUGCCUGGGGAGGGUGGCGUGCAGAGGGGGCAUAACUGGGCUUCAUUAGAUGAAGGAAUGACCACAGAGGGAGAGGGUGGGAGACGCCGCCCGGGGCCACGAGGACAGGCUGACGUCUGCUCUCUGUGACCUUUCAGCCCAGAAACGCUUCCCUGGACGUCACCACUUGGAUGCUUUACGGCAGCCACCGUCGGUCCCAGAGGUCCCAGUUUCUAGGCCGGGAAAAGGCCCCCUGCCGAGGCACGAGUCCCUCCCGUGGCUUAGAGGACAGGACAGAAAUAAUCCCUCCCAAGGCGAAGUCCGAGCACCCCUACCAAGGCGGACUGAAGGUGGGCAGCCCCAGGACAAUUCAGAGCAAGAAAGCCUAGAGGAGAGCUGUGUACCUUCCACCCACGUGCCCCUCGCCAGUCUAGAGCCAGACAGAUGUGCUCAGUGGGUUAAGAAUUCGCCUGCCAAUGCUGGGGAUACGAGUUCGAGUCCUGGUCUGGGAAGAUCCCACAUGCUGCAGAGCAACUAAGCCUGUGCGCCACAACUCCUGAGCCUGCGCUCUAGAACCCGCGUGCCACAACUACUGAGCCCGCGUGCCACAACUACUGAGCCUGCGUGCCACAACUACUGAAGCC